GGAAUCUUGGACAAUGGGGGCAACCCUGAUCCAGCGACGCCGCGUGGGUGAUGAAGGCCUUCGGGUUGUAAAGCCCUUUCACCGGGGACGAUGAUGACUGUACCCGGAGAAGAAGCACCGGCUAACCCCGUGCCACCAGCCGCGGUAAGAGGGAGGGUGCUAGCGUGGUUCGGAAUCACUGGGCGUAAAGGGGGCGUAGGCGGCCUGGGAAGUCGGCUUGUGAAAGCCCGGGGCUCAACCCCGGAGGUGCGGCCGAUACUCCUAGGCUCGAGGCCGGAAGAGGAGGGUGGAAUACCCAGUGUAGAGGUGAAAUUCGUAGAUAUUGGGUGGAACACCGGUGGCGAAAGCGGCUCUCUGGUCCGGUCCUGACGCUGAGGCGCAAAAGCGUGGGGAGCAAAC
This 399-nucleotide ribosomal RNA is filed under the name uncultured bacterium. Its description in RNAcentral is "bacterial SSU rRNA". It matches the Rfam family "Bacterial small subunit ribosomal RNA", at positions 358 to 773 of the family's 1533-position model. The record is from RNAcentral.